CAUAGAGCUUCACUUUGCAUCAGCAGCUCCAUGCUCCAGUGCUCUUGAAGACUUUAUAGUCCUGAGAGUUGAAUGCUGGAUGACAACAGAAGACAUCCUCCUCAUCAAAAAUAUGACUUUGAUCUGCGUCCUCAUCUGGACUCUCCUCUGCUGCUGCUUCACAGAGUCCAGAGGUCAAGUCACAGUGAUUCAGCCUGCAGCAGUAAGAGCUGAUCUGGGAGGAUCUGUCAGCAUCAGAUGUAGAACCAGUCAGAAUGUUUGGGUCUGGAGCAGCUACCACCAUUUAGCUUGGUAUCAACAGAAAAGUGGUCAAAAUCCUAAGCUGCUCAUUUAUUACGCUAGCUCUCGAGCAUCAGGGACAACAAGUCGUUUUACAGGCAGUGGAUCAAACUCUGACUUCACUCUGACCAUCAGUGCAGCUCAGGCUGAAGAUGCUGCAGUUUAUUACUGUCAGAGUGCUCAUCUCAUCAACAGUCAACGCCGGUUCACACAGUGAAAAACUCUGGUACAAAAACUUCCCUUUGUCGACUGAACUGAAACUGAUGCAAGGGAUUUAACUGGUAGCUGCUAGAGAGACGACGAAGGGACAGAGAACUAUUAUCAAGCAAAUUAAGUAACUGCAGUCAGUUGUUCAUGCUUUAGUACUUUUUUUUCUAAUCAAAAAACUUUACAUUUUUGUAAUUAUGAAUUCA
Molecule: non-coding RNA, 692 nt
Organism: Cyprinodon tularosa
Lineage: Eukaryota; Metazoa; Chordata; Actinopteri; Cyprinodontiformes; Cyprinodontidae
Source: the annotation of a RefSeq genome assembly